AUGAACACUGAAAAUCACCAAUAUGUUGCUGAUGCUAAUGGAUUUGAUAGAGUUACCAAGUCUGAGGUCAAUAAGAAAAAUAUAAUGCCAGUAUCUUAUGCGGGCAAACUUCGCUACAUGACUGAAAACUUCCAUGAUGCUGUCGCUGUUUCACGUGUCCAUGGCUUACUUGAUAUAUUCACAGACUUCACGUAUGAUCCAAACUGGCCUGAGAUAGUUCAGGGUCUUGAGCAUGGACAACAAGCAGUCGAUGAGGCUGAUUUUACUGCUCAAGUGUAUCAACUGAAACUCCUUGAAUACGUGGAAAAAAUUAAGACCGGACAGGUGUUUGGGCCUGUAGUUACUGUCCUCCACUGCGUGGACUUCCAGAAGAGGACUCUGCCCCAUGCACAUGUCCUUGUUUGGCUGAAAAAGAUUAUGGGCAGGGAUCUGCGUCCACUAAUGUUGAUGAUGAUGCUCUUGCGAUUGCACAUGAUAAUGCCAUGGAGGCUGCACUUCGCUGCUUUGGAUCUAAUAACUAAAGCCCUGUCCACAAAGACAAGCGCUCAUGAGCCUACUACUGUUGAAAAUGCCCAAAUAAAUUGUACCGACCCUACACACACCCGGCUUUUCCUCGGCCGUUGCAUCUCUAGGCCCAGGCUUAAGUAG
This 648-nucleotide ribosomal RNA is filed under the name Triticum aestivum (bread wheat). RNAcentral describes it as "partial small subunit ribosomal RNA". Lineage: Eukaryota; Viridiplantae; Streptophyta; Magnoliopsida; Poales; Poaceae. The record is from RNAcentral.